Molecule: long non-coding RNA, 262 nt
Filed under: Bos taurus (domestic cattle)
Lineage: Eukaryota; Metazoa; Chordata; Mammalia; Artiodactyla; Bovidae
Description: long non-coding RNA NONBTAT009599
Source: RNAcentral
CUUAAACUUUGUGAUUUUUGCCCUUUGGGCAGAUGGUUUUGUGUUACUGAGUGAACUCUGUGGAAUAGGAAAUAAGGCUUGACGCCUUGUUGGUGAUACUUUCACUUAACACCCCUCCUUUUUUUGGUAGGUGUCAAAAUAGGAGAGCAAUAGGACAUUAUAACAUAGAAAUUAAUUGACAUGCUUUAAUAAUUUAAAUAUUAGUUGCUGAGGGGCUGCUUGUUCAUAUGUCUUUUGCUUAACCAGUUGUUAUUUUUUCACC